RNAcentral lists this unclassified non-coding RNA (315 nucleotides) under Hevea brasiliensis (rubber tree). The record is from RNAcentral. Lineage: Eukaryota; Viridiplantae; Streptophyta; Magnoliopsida; Malpighiales; Euphorbiaceae.
GGAAACUUGCAACAAUGCCACUUGCCUGAAUUCAUAAGGCGAAACAACAUUGGUGGCAUAUGAAACACAAGAUAUGUUGGCAAUGCCGUGCUUCUGGUUUUAGAAGACUCUUGACAAGUGGAAUUUAUUUUGGAGAUGGACAGGAUGUUAUGCUGAUGCUAUGUAGUGACGUCUUUUAUUAGAAAAACUUUUCUUAAUCCACUUCUCACAUGCCUCAGGAAACUUCUCCUAAUAUGGUUGGUCUGUUCUAGUAGGUCUUGCAUGGACUUCAUAGAAUUUAUAUCUAGGUGAACAUCAGCUCAUUUUUUGUAUCUU